GGGUUUUUAUUUUAUACUUCAAAUCUUGAAUUUAUCUUUUAUGUUUUUGAAUGUUUGAUUUAAAAAAAUAUAAAAAAUACAAUAGAUAUUGACAUGGAUUAAACAAAGAUAUAUAUUAUUCUAUGUUGCAUAAACAAAUUGGCAAAGUAGAGAUGGAAGAUAAAAAUAUGGU
Molecule: ribosomal RNA, 172 nt
Filed under: [Borrelia] lusitaniae
Lineage: Bacteria; Pseudomonadati; Spirochaetota; Spirochaetia; Spirochaetales; Borreliaceae
Description: Borreliella lusitaniae 5S-23S ribosomal RNA intergenic spacer
Source: RNAcentral